RNAcentral lists this ribosomal RNA (1086 nucleotides) under Triticum aestivum (bread wheat). Its description in RNAcentral is "partial small subunit ribosomal RNA". Lineage: Eukaryota; Viridiplantae; Streptophyta; Magnoliopsida; Poales; Poaceae. The record is from RNAcentral.
AUGGCCAUGGCGGCGGACUGGUCGUCCCUCCCAUCCAACUUCGUCCGCGCCGUCGCCGACGUCUUCCUCGCCACCACCGACCUCGACUACUACAUGACACUCCGGAGCGUGUGCCACGGCUGGCGAGCCGCGACCGCCGACCCGCACGGCACCGACCCCCGCUUUCACCCCCGCCGGUGGAUCAUGCUCGAGGAGACCCGGCCAGACGUCGACCAAGACUCCCGCCUCUUCCUCAACCUCGACACCGGGCGUUUCCUGCGGAAACGCCUCUCCGUGCUACGCAGCUACACAUACCUCGCCACGGCCAGUGGCCUGCUCGUCCUGGAGGAGCCUGAUAUGUGCAGGCUCUGCGUCCUCAACCCCUUCACGGGCACCCUCUUCCGUUUCCGAGUGCCACCGGUGCAUCCCUUCGACAGGAGCGUGGUCGUCGCCGGCUCGUCGCCCAUGGUGCUCUUCAGCUUCUACAACUUCCACCACCUAGCAUGGGCCGACCAGAACUGUGUUUUCUUUCCGCCGCUGGUCAAGCCCACGCCGGCACUUCGCGGGUUCACCGCCGUGGUGGCCUUCCAGGGCCGCGUAUACGCUGCCCACUCCAGCGGCUCGGUUGCGCUAGUCGAGCUCUCCCGGCGGCACAACAAGCCUCAGAUCACCGUCAUCGUCCCCAGCAGUAACUGGCAAGCCACGCCCACUUUACUCGUGGACAACGCCGGCGAGCUGCUGCUGCUGCGCAUUCCGGUUUACUCCCGCAUGGAGGUCUUCAGGGUGGACCUCGUGAGGAAAACGCUGGUGCCCGUCAACAGCAUCGGAAACCGUGCCCUCUUCCUCGGCCUCCGGUGCUCCCUCUCUGUUGACGCCGACCGCCUCCCUGCCGUCGACGCCAAUUUCAUCUACUACGGCGAGGGUCUGAUGUGUGAAGCGGGGGUUUGCGCGCAUCGCCUCGGGGACGACCGAAGUUUUAUUGAGAGAUGGGAAGAUGAGAGGAUUAUCCCGCACACGGGAGACAUGUGGAAACCUAUCGACCCAAGAGCAUCGCGCCCCAAGAGCCUCGCACAUGUCCUUGUGUCCUACUGCAUGGGCAAGCGUUAG